Molecule: ribosomal RNA, 581 nt
Filed under: Trichoderma harzianum
Lineage: Eukaryota; Fungi; Ascomycota; Sordariomycetes; Hypocreales; Hypocreaceae
Description: eukaryotic LSU rRNA
Rfam family: 5.8S ribosomal RNA (bases 203-356)
Source: RNAcentral
CCGAGUUUACAACUCCCAAACCCAAUGUGAACGUUACCAAACUGUUGCCUCGGCGGGAUCUCUGCCCCGGGUGCGUCGCAGCCCCGGACCAAGGCGCCCGCCGGAGGACCAACCAAAACUCUUUUUGUAUACCCCCUCGCGGGUUUUUUUUAUAAUCUGAGCCUUCUCGGCGCCUCUCGUAGGCGUUUCGAAAAUGAAUCAAAACUUUCAACAACGGAUCUCUUGGUUCUGGCAUCGAUGAAGAACGCAGCGAAAUGCGAUAAGUAAUGUGAAUUGCAGAAUUCAGUGAAUCAUCGAAUCUUUGAACGCACAUUGCGCCCGCCAGUAUUCUGGCGGGCAUGCCUGUCCGAGCGUCAUUUCAACCCUCGAACCCCUCCGGGGGGUCGGCGUUGGGGAUCGGCCCUGCCUCUUGGCGGUGGCCGUCUCCGAAAUACAGUGGCGGUCUCGCCGCAGCCUCUCCUGCGCAGUAGUUUGCACACUCGCAUCGGGAGCGCGGCGCGUCCACAGCCGUUAAACACCCAACUUCUGAAAUGUUGACCUCGGAUCAGGUAGGAAUACCCGCUGAACUUAAGCAUAUAAAA